This 440-nucleotide ribosomal RNA is filed under the name uncultured bacterium. Its description in RNAcentral is "partial 16S ribosomal RNA". It matches the Rfam family "Bacterial small subunit ribosomal RNA", at positions 338 to 795 of the family's 1533-position model. The record is from RNAcentral.
CCUACGGGGGGCAGCAGUGGGGAAUAUUGGACAAUGGGGGAAACCCUGAUCCAGCGACGCCGCGUGAGUGAAGAAGUAUUUCGGUACGUAAAGCUCUAUCAGCAGGGAAGAAAAUGACGGUACCUGCCUAAGAAGCCCCGGCUACCUACGUGCCAGCAGCCGCGGUAAUAAGGAGGGGGCAAGCGUUAUCCGGAGUUACUGGGUGUAAAGGGAGCGUAGACGGCGGCGCAGGUCUGGAGUGAAUUGCCGGGGCCCAACCCCGGAACUGCUCUGGAAACUGUGAAGCUUGAGUGCAGGAGAGGUAAGCGGAAUGCCUGGUGUAGCGGUGAAAUGCGUAGAUAUCAGGAGGAACACCGGCGGCGAAGGCGGCUUACUGGACUGUAACUGACGUUGAGGCUCGAAGGCGUGGGGAGCAAACAGGAUUAGAUACCCCAGUAGUC